RNAcentral lists this long non-coding RNA (335 nucleotides) under Arabidopsis lyrata. Its description in RNAcentral is "long non-coding RNA (ALYR_LNC003056)". The record is from RNAcentral. Lineage: Eukaryota; Viridiplantae; Streptophyta; Magnoliopsida; Brassicales; Brassicaceae.
AUGGUUAGAUUUGGUUCAAUUAUAUAGUUUAAUCAUGGGCUGCUAUGUAGCUGCUGUCAAAGGAUGGCUUCUUGGAGUCUUUGGCUAGUAUGAUCUUGACUUCCUAUGGCUUUUCAUACGUUCUGUGAUUGGCUUCUCUUCUAUCUAGUUUAGAUCUCUACACAAGCCACCAUAGGUUUUUAAAACUUUGUUUCACUUGUUACAAUUUCUCGAUUCGUUUUUAAAACUUUGUUUCACUUGUUACAAUUUCUCGAUUCUUUUUUUUUUUAUGAUUUCUUCUUCUCAAUUUCUGCGUGCUUAUUAUUCUAAAUAGUGAGAAUGCUAUGGACUGGAGA